RNAcentral lists this ribosomal RNA (217 nucleotides) under Salmonella enterica subsp. enterica serovar Newport. RNAcentral's name for it is "partial 23S ribosomal RNA". It matches the Rfam family "Bacterial large subunit ribosomal RNA", at positions 1132 to 1348 of the family's 2925-position model. RNAcentral also lists the same sequence under 1 other name. The record is from RNAcentral. Lineage: Bacteria; Pseudomonadati; Pseudomonadota; Gammaproteobacteria; Enterobacterales; Enterobacteriaceae.
GCGUAAUAGCUCACUGGUCGAGUCGGCCUGCGCGGAAGAUGUAACGGGGCUAAACCAUGCACCGAAGCUGCGGCAGCGACACUGUGUGUUGUUGGGUAGGGGAGCGUUCUGUAAGCCUGUGAAGGUGGCCUGUGAGGGUUGCUGGAGGUAUCAGAAGUGCGAAUGCUGACAUAAGUAACGAUAAAGCGGGUGAAAAGCCCGCUCGCCGGAAGACCAA